Long non-coding RNA from Numida meleagris (helmeted guineafowl), 2258 nucleotides. The record is from Ensembl. Lineage: Eukaryota; Metazoa; Chordata; Aves; Galliformes; Numididae.
AUCCCCCCCUCGAGAGCAAUGGGUCCCCCGUUGGGACGGCCCCGUGCCUCAGUUUCCCCAUGUGGGUAAUGGGUUCCCCAUUGGGAGUCAUGGAAACCCAUUGGGACGGCCCCGUGCCUCAGUUUCCCCAUGUGGGCAAUGGGUUCCCCAUUGGGAGUCAUGGAUCCCCCAUUGGCAGCAAUGGGUCCCCCACUGGAACGAUUCCGUGCCUCGGUUUCCCCAUAGGGAUCAUGGAUUUCCCAUAGGGAUCAUGGAUCCCCCAUUGGGAGUCGUGGAAACCCAUUGGGAUGGCCCUGUGCCCCAGUUUCCCCACUGGGAGUCAUAGAUUCCCCACUGGGAGUCAUGGAAACCCACUGGGAUGGCCCCUGUGCCUCAGUUUCCCCACUGGGAGUCAUGGAUUCCCUUUCAAGAGCAAUGGGCCCCCCAUUGGGACGGCCCCGUGCCUCAAUUUCCCCAUAUGGGUAAUGGGUUCCCCAUUGGCAGUCGUGGAUCCCCCAUUGGGAGUCAUGGAAACCCAUUGGGACGGCCCCGUGCCUCAGUUUCCCCAUGUGGGUAAUGGGUUCCCCAUUGGGCGUCAUGGAAACCCAUUGGGACAGCCCCCUGCCUCAGUUUCCCCGUAUGGGAAAUGGAUUGCUAUGGUACGACUCUGUGCCUCAGUUUCCCCACUGGGAGCCAUGGAAACCCACUGGGACGGCCCCGUGCCUCAGUUUCCCCACUGGGAGUCAUGGAUCCCAUAUUGGGAGCAAUGGUCCCCCACUGGAACAGUUCCGUGCCUCAGUUUCCCCAUGGGGAUCAUGGAUUCCCCAUAGGGAUCAUGGAUCCCCCAUUGGGAGCAAUGGAUCCCGCAUUGGGACAGCCCCGUGCCUCAGUUUCCCCAUAUGGGUACUGGGAUCCCCAUAGGGAUCAUGGGUCCCCCAUUGGGUGCCAUGGAUCCCCCAUUGGGAGCAAUGGAUCCCACAUUGGGAUGGCCCCAUGCCUCAGUUUCCCCAUUGGGAUCGUGGAUCCCCCAUUGGGAGUCAUGGAUCCCCCAUUGGGAGCAAUGGGUCCCCCACUGGAACAAUUCUGUGCCUCAGUUUCCCCAUAGGGAUCAUGGAUUCCCCAUAGGGAUCAUGGAUCCCCCAUUGGGAGUCAUGGAUCCCCCAUUGGGCGCCAUGGAUCCCCCAUUGGGAGUCAUUGAUCCCCCACUGGGAGUCAUUGAUCCCCCAUUGGGAAUCAUGGAUCCCCCAUUGGGAGUCAUUGAUCCCCCAUUGGGCGCCAUGGAUCCCCCAUUGGGAGUCAUUGAUCCCCCAUAGGGAUCAUGGAUCCCCCAUUGGGAGUCAUGGAUCCUCCAUUGGGAAUNUGGAUCCCCCAUUGGGAGCAAUGGAUCCCACAUUGGGAUGGCCCCAUGCCUCAGUUUCCCCAUUGGGAUCGUGGAUCCCCCAUUGGGAGUCAUGGAUCCCCCAUUGGGAGCAAUGGGUCCCCCACUGGAACAAUUCUGUGCCUCAGUUUCCCCAUAGGGAUCAUGGAUUCCCCAUAGGGAUCAUGGAUCCCCCAUUGGGAGUCAUGGAUCCCCCAUUGGGCGCCAUGGAUCCCCCAUUGGGAGUCAUUGAUCCCCCACUGGGAGUCAUUGAUCCCCCAUUGGGAAUCAUGGAUCCCCCAUUGGGAGUCAUUGAUCCCCCAUUGGGCGCCAUGGAUCCCCCAUUGGGAGUCAUUGAUCCCCCAUAGGGAUCAUGGAUCCCCCAUUGGGAGUCAUGGAUCCUCCAUUGGGAAUCAUGGAUCCCCCAUUGGGAGUCAUUGAUCCCCCAUUGGGAAUCAUGGAUUCCCCAUCGGGAAUCAUGGAUCCCCCAUUGGGAGUCAUUGAUCCCCCAUUGGGAGUCAUUGAUCCCCCAUUGGGAAUCAUGGAUCGCCCAUUGGGAGCAAUGGGCCCCGUGCCUCAGUUUCCCCACCCCCCCCGGGUAACGCAUCACUACGGUUCAGACCUGUGCCUCAGUUUCCCCCCCCUCGUCCCCCCCCGGUACGGCUUCGUGCCUCAGUUUCCCCACGAGGAACGGGGUCACGUGACAGCACUGCCCCCCGCUUCCCCCUAUCUCGUCGCGGUACGGCCCCGUGCAUCAGUUUCCCCCCGCGGGUAACGGCUCCCUACGGCCUCGCUUUCUUCAUUCAUAAAAUGGGUACGCUACGGGGGCGUGGCUUGCGCAGGCCACGCCCCCUCCGUUCAUUUUUUUUAAAAUCCAUAUCUCAGCCAAUAAAACCUGACGUAGAACGCUGAUUGGUCGGCA